CGAAGCGGGAGGGACAUUGCUGGAACGCGCCCGGCGCACCCAGAAACCCUUUGUGAACUUAUACCUUACUGUUGCCUCGGCGCAGGCCGGCCUCUUAGCUGAGGCCCCCCGGAGACGGGGAGCAGCCCGCCGGCGGCCAAGUUAACUCUUGUUUCUACACUGAAUCUCUGAGUAAAAAAAACAUAAAUGAAUCAAAACUUUCAACAACGGAUCUCUUGGUUCUGGCAUCGAUGAAGAACGCAGCGAAAUGCGAUAAGUAAUGUGAAUUGCAGAAUUCAGUGAAUCAUCGAAUCUUUGAACGCACAUUGCGCCCUCUGGUAUUCCGGAGGGCAUGCCUGUUCGAGCGUCAUUUCAACCCUCAAGCCUGGCUUGGUGUUGGGGCACUGCUUCGAGAGAAGCAGGCCCUGAAAUCUAGUGGCGAGCUCGCUAGGACCCCGAGCGUAGUAGUUAUAUCUCGUUCUGGAAGGCCCUGGCGGCGCCCUGCCGUUAAACCCCCAACUUCUGAAAUUUUGACCUCGGAUCAGGUAGGAAUACCCGCUGAACUUAAGCAUAUCAAUAAGCGGAGG
This 566-nucleotide ribosomal RNA is filed under the name Phomopsis sp. IP-41. RNAcentral describes it as "eukaryotic LSU rRNA". The stretch from base 196 to 349 matches the Rfam family "5.8S ribosomal RNA". Lineage: Eukaryota; Fungi; Ascomycota; Sordariomycetes; Diaporthales; Diaporthaceae. The record is from RNAcentral.